AUGAUUCCAGGACCUGGAAUCAUACCAGCCGAUGGUUUGAAGCACUCCUCUGGUUUGAAGGAUAGAUACCUUCCUGGGAUCAAGUGCAUCCUAACUCACCUGCUACCAUAUAACUGGAAUUACCGAUGCAAGUCGAAGAAGGAUUGGCCGGUGUUGCCAGCUGGCGUCAAGUUCGAUCCCACGGAUCAGGAGCUGAUCAAGCACCUUGAGGCCAAAGUGAGUGCUGACAGCGCGAGAUUUCAGUCUCUCAUCGAUUUGUUCAUACCAACCAUCGACAGCGAGCACGGCAUAUGCUACACCCAACCUGAGAAACUUCCAGAUGUUAUGAAAAUGCCAACUAGGUACACUAAAACCUGUAUUCCACAAUACCGCAGGUAUCACACUGAGUGGCCUAAGGAAGCAUUUCUUCCUGCGCAAUUCCAGGGCAUUCAAAAGGGGCACGUGGACGCGUCGCAAGAUACAGUCGGAGUGCGGCAUGCACGCGAUGUGGCACAAGACCGGCAAGACCUUGCCAGUGAUGGUCAACGGCCGGCAAGACGGGCAGCAAAAAAGGUUCUGGUGCUGCACACCAACAAGAACUUCGACCAGCAGAGGACCAACUGGGUGAUGCACCAGUACCACCUCGGGGACCUGGGGCAAGAGAAGGAGCGGGAGCUGGUCCUCUGCAAGAUUUUCUACCAGACGAACACUAGGGCCAGGAGUAAAAAGAUUAUAAGUUAG
RNAcentral lists this ribosomal RNA (720 nucleotides) under Triticum aestivum (bread wheat). RNAcentral describes it as "partial small subunit ribosomal RNA". The record is from RNAcentral. Lineage: Eukaryota; Viridiplantae; Streptophyta; Magnoliopsida; Poales; Poaceae.